CACGUAGGGUGCGAGCGUUGUCCGGAAUUAUUGGGCGUAAAGAGCUCGUAGGCGGUGUGUCGCGUCGGCCGUGAAAACCUGCAGCUUAACUGUGGGCUUGCGGUCGAUACGGGCAUCACUGGAGUUCGGCAGGGGAGACUGGAAUUCCUGGUGUAGCGGUGAAAUGCGCAGAUAUCAGGAGGAACACCGAUGGCGAAGGCAGGGUCUCUGGGCCACUACUGACGCUGAGAAGCGAAAGCAUGGGGAGCGAACAGG
Molecule: ribosomal RNA, 255 nt
Filed under: uncultured bacterium
Lineage: Bacteria
Description: partial 16S ribosomal RNA
Rfam family: Bacterial small subunit ribosomal RNA
Source: RNAcentral